RNAcentral lists this ribosomal RNA (165 nucleotides) under Senecio involucratus. RNAcentral describes it as "5.8S ribosomal RNA". It matches the Rfam family "5.8S ribosomal RNA". Rfam says of the family: 5.8S ribosomal RNA (5.8S rRNA) is a component of the large subunit of the eukaryotic ribosome. It is transcribed by RNA polymerase I as part of the 45S precursor that also contains 18S and 28S rRNA. The record is from RNAcentral. Lineage: Eukaryota; Viridiplantae; Streptophyta; Magnoliopsida; Asterales; Asteraceae. RNAcentral also lists the same sequence under 1 other name.
AUAAAAGACUCUCGGCAACGGAUAUCUCGGCUCACGCAUCGAUGAAGAACGUAGCAAAAUGCGAUACUUGGUGUGAAUUGCAGAAUCCCGUGAACCAUCGAGUUUUUGAACGCAAGUUGCGCCCGAAGCCUUUUGGCUGAGGGCACGUCUGCCUGGGCGUCACAC